RNAcentral lists this long non-coding RNA (1077 nucleotides) under Homo sapiens (human). RNAcentral describes it as "HSALNT0083404". Lineage: Eukaryota; Metazoa; Chordata; Mammalia; Primates; Hominidae. The record is from RNAcentral.
GUUGGUUAUAGCAAGAGAAUCUCUGGCCACCAGUUGGUCUGUUGCACGUAAACAGGAUGUGGGAAUGAGUCAAGGUGCAGGAGAGCCUGUCCUCUGUCCCUAAUGCAGUUCUUAGAUGCCUAAAUAAUGUGAAUUUUAAAGACAGAGACACUUUGCUUGCACAUUUUCUGGAAAGUGAGCAGGCAGCUCAGCCACCAGUGUUAGACUCAGGGACCUCCUCCAUCAGUUCCGUGGUAGAGAAUGGAGCACUUCCGAACCCCCCAGAGGAUUGGCUGCCCUGCGCUUCCUACACAGGUACGUGGCUGGAUUUGCUUUGCUCAAGUCUACAAAUCAAUUUAGAAGCACCCUAAUCCUCCCCGGGAUGACAAACAAGAAGAAGCAACACAGAACACCAGUGAGAAAACAGCCCUGAGAUCAUUAAGUGAAGUUCUCCUUAGACGACAGACACCAGAAGACAAAGACAUUUACAGAGCCACCCUUGGGAGCCCAGUUGUCAUCUUGGCUCAGGAAGUCCCCACAUUCAUCUGCUAGGUGUAGAAGCCAUCCGGAGCUCUGCUGCGGGCCAUCUGGGACUAGAAAUUUGCCUGGAGUUUGUAAGCAGGAGCCCCUUCCAAGAGCAGAGAAAGCAUAGCCUGGGGCACGGGCCCUGUGGCUCCGGAGCACCUCUGGAAGGGACACACCCCAGGAAGACGCGCGGGGGCCCUCCUGGCCGCCUCUGGUAAGCCUUUCAGGCCUGUCUUCACCAGCGUGAAUUUGUCUCUUUCAAAGGGACGACAUUGAGGUCGGCAUGCCUACUGAGCAUUCCAUGUUUUCUGGAAAGUGAACGUACGGAAGCAGCUAACAGGACACAGACGUACGUGAGCAGAUUUAUCCUGCCUGCCUGCUGAGGAUGCCAUCGGCUGGAGGCUGAACUGCCAGCUUCACAGAUUUCCUAUAAGUUGCCCAUUAUUAAAUUUUAAUUACAUAGUUGAACUAAGAGCUUUAUGCUAAUAAAGACAAACUAGAAAUAAAACUUUCAAAAGGGACAAUUGUCCUAAUCUAUUUCACUUGGGUCUAGGGAGAUAGAUCAUUGUUUCA